Cordylochernes scorpioides is the source of this 72-nucleotide non-coding RNA. Lineage: Eukaryota; Metazoa; Arthropoda; Arachnida; Pseudoscorpiones; Chernetidae. The record is from the annotation of a GenBank genome assembly.
UGCUGUGACAAGGAUACAAACCUGGGUUAUUGCGGCCACAACACAUUGUUCUAACCACUAGACAAUCACAGC